AUUUUUAUAAACAUAAUCAUUCGUCAUAUGUACUGAAAUCAAUUUGGUGGCAUGUGAAUUUUAUAUAUAAAUAUGCAUGGUAAUUCAAGGCGAUAGCUGCUUUUGUCGAAAUCAAUUUGGUGGCAUGUGAUGGUAAUUCAAGGCGAUAGCUGCUUCUGUCGAAAUCAAUUAGAGUGUUUCAUUCUUCCUCAAUCAACUUUGUUGUUUUGUCGAUUCCACCUCAAUUAGAGUGUAUCAUUCUGCCUCAAUUAAUUUUGCCAUCAAUCAAUUUGUUUGACAUAUGCAUCUCUAUAUGUAUAAUUAAUGUAUUGAUGUACAUGCAUCCCACUAUUUAACUAUUGCAUAUACAUACAUCCCAUUAUAUAACCCUUGUUUGUUUGAGCCCUAUUCUUUCCAUAAUAAUGUAUUUUUGAAUAGCGUAUUGAUGGAAAAUGUGUAGUUAAAAAAUAAAAAAAAAAUUUGAAUUUGCGUGAAAUAUUAUUUUAUUGAAAAAUGUGUACUUGAAAUGAUAUCAAGACACUGUUUAAAUUUUUUUUUUUUUUCAAAGAACGAGGCUCAAACAGGUGCAUAAUCAAUAGUUUCUGUAUUCAUUGGUAAGCACUCUUCUAUUAUUCAAUUGAACUAUGGUGACAGAAGCCCUUGACAGAAUGCAUGUUGCCUUUUCCUUAAAAAAAAAAAAAAAAUGGAAGCCAGAAAAUGUAUAAAAUGAACACGGAUCCGGCCCAAUCUUUCAAACCCAUAUCUCACUACCCUUCCCAUUUCGCACCCGUUCUCCAAAUCUACCGAAGCAGAACCCUUCCGCCAGCGCAAAGUCCCAAGACAAAAUUGGUUUCCUCCAAAUCUACCACAGCAAAACCCUCCCGCCGACACCAAGUAGCUCACUCCCUUCAACGCUAGAACGAAAAGGAAGGCAUUUGUACCCUUCGUCGCUUGCUGCACCAAACCUGUACUCAUCUUUGUCACUGAAAGUAAGUUCGAAUAUGUGGAUUUUCGAAGGAUUGACUAUGGCGCUUAAGUUUUGGGGGUUAAAUUUUUGUUUUCUAAUUUUCUCGUCAAUAGCAAUCGUUAGGUCGAAGGGAGGUUUUUUUUCUUCCAUUUUUUCUCCUAAAUCGGGUGAACUUUGAAAUCAGCUUUGGUUUGUAAACUCGAAAUUGGGUGAACUCUGAAAUCAGCAAUCGAUGUAGUCAGUAGCAAUCAACUUCUGUUUGUGCACUUUGAAUGUUGAAAUUUUGAAUUUUCUCGUUAUGGUGUGUGAAUUUUAUAGAUGUCUGGAAUCAGCUUCUUUUUGUGAACUCAAUAAGAUUGCUUUAAUGGAUGUGAGCUCUUAUUCCUGAAUAACUUUUGAUGUGUUGUGGUUUAUUUUCAGCUUAUGAUGGCAUGGAAGAACCAGGGAGUAUGUCAUGGUUAUAGAGAAAAAAGGCAUUUUUUUGCUGACUGUCCGGAGAAACGGCAUUGCCCAUGGUGCAAACAUGCAUUCAUCAAGUGCUUUGAGGUAGAGAAAGAGAGCAAAAACAAGGGUAGAUUAUUCAAUACCUGUACUGCAAAAUGUGGAUAUUGGGAGUGGUGAAAGAUGGCGAGACUAACAGUGAAGCAAGUGUAAUCAGCGUAACUACGACGAAUCAUGUGAGGAGCAAAGGAGUUGAAGAAUUACCUUGCAUGUUUCAAUCUCAAUGUCGACUAUUUGAUCAACGCGAUGUGGAGAUGUCUCUUAACGUGACAAUACACAAAGGAAGAGCAAAUGCGGAUGGAGAGAAGAAAGGGAAGGGCCGUGAAUGAGUUGUAGUUCUGAAUUUAAUGACCUUAUUCAGUUUUGCAUUUCCGGCAUUAGUAGUUUCAUCACUAUUUAGUUUUUAAGUAAUGUUGUUUUGUAAUUGUGUCGUUGUAGGGGGUUACUCGAUGUGAAUUGUCUAGAUGGUAUUGUCGUUUGUAGUUAUGCGAUGUGGAUGGGAUGGAGUUGCCAUUCAAGGAAUGUGUAGUAUCAACUUGGACUUUGAUCACAUUCCAGCAUCUCACAAUGUUUAAGCAUUGUCUCUUCAUUAUGUAAUUUCUUUCCAUUUCAAUGAAGUGAUUGCAACAGAUUUUUAGUUGAAUGUUUAAGCAUUUUGUGGCUUGAAUUGUACUAGAGCAAAAAUUCA
RNAcentral lists this long non-coding RNA (2135 nucleotides) under Olea europaea subsp. europaea. The record is from RNAcentral. Lineage: Eukaryota; Viridiplantae; Streptophyta; Magnoliopsida; Lamiales; Oleaceae.